RNAcentral lists this transfer RNA (72 nucleotides) under Aminomonas paucivorans DSM 12260. It matches the Rfam family "tRNA". Rfam says of the family: Transfer RNA (tRNA) molecules are approximately 80 nucleotides in length. Their secondary structure includes four short double-helical elements and three loops (D, anti-codon, and T loops). Lineage: Bacteria; Thermotogati; Synergistota; Synergistia; Synergistales; Synergistaceae. The record is from Rfam by way of RNAcentral.
GGGGAUGUAGCUCAGUGGGAGAGCGCCUGCCUUGCACGCAGGAUGUCGGCGGUUCGAAUCCGCUCAUCUCCA